AGGAAUACAUCAAGAAACAAAUUGAUAAGGAAUUUGCGAAGGGCUUGGUAGUCGCUGGUGGAGCGGCGCUAGUACUUGGUGGAAUAUUGGGUCUAGGCAUUGCUAUGGCUAGAAAUAAACAAAAACGGGAGAAAUAGUGAAAUCCAUAAUUUUUACGGAAUCUUAAUCCACCUGCAACUUCAACAACGCAGCCGUUUUGUCUGUUGCUGAAAUCGAUAAAUAGUAAUUUACUUCAUUACUGUUCUUAAAUAUUGUAUUACGUUUAACCGCGAUAAUUCAAUAAAAGGCCCAAGUUUUAACUUUUAUUUAAUAUCUAAUAAUAAAAUAGGACCCCAAAAAGGGGAAAGUCAAUCGGCAGUUAAAAAAGGCUAGACAAAAAA
Drosophila suzukii is the source of this 380-nucleotide non-coding RNA. Lineage: Eukaryota; Metazoa; Arthropoda; Insecta; Diptera; Drosophilidae. The record is from RefSeq and is a predicted model, not a curated record.